RNAcentral lists this ribosomal RNA (497 nucleotides) under uncultured bacterium. RNAcentral describes it as "partial 16S ribosomal RNA". It matches the Rfam family "Bacterial small subunit ribosomal RNA", at positions 28 to 507 of the family's 1533-position model. The record is from RNAcentral.
GAUGAACGCUGGCGGCGUGCCUAAUACAUGCAAGUCGAGCGAACGGACGAGACGCUUGCUUCUCUGAUGUUAGCGGCGGACGGGUGAGUAACACGUGGAUAACCUACCUAUAAGACUGGGAUAACUUCGGGAAACCGGAGCUAAUACCGGAUAAUAUUUUGAACCGCAUGGUUCAAAAGAGAAAUACGGUCUUGCUGUCACUAAUAGAUGGAUCCGCGCUGCAUUAGCUAGUUGGUAAGGUAACGGCUUACCAAGGCAACGAUGCAUAGCCGACCUGAGAGGGUGAUCGGCCACACGGGAACUGAGACACGGUCCAGACUCCUACGGGAGGCAGCAGUAGGGAAUCUUCCGCAAUGGGCGAAAGCCUGACGGAGCAACGCCGCGUGAGUGAUGAAGGUCUUCGGAUCGUAAAACUCUGUUAUUAGGGAAGAACAUAUGUGUAAGUAACUGUGCACAUCUUGACGGUACCUAAUCAGAAAGCCACGGCUAACUACGUG